AGUGAACGCUGGCGGUAGGCCUAACACAUGCAAGUCGAACGGCAGCACAGUAAGAGCUUGCUCUUACGGGUGGCGAGUGGCGGACGGGUGAGGAAUACAUCGGAAUCUACUUUUUCGGGGGGGAUAACGUAGGGAAACUUACGCUAAUACCGCAUACGACCUACGGGUGAAAGCAGGGGAUCUUCGGACCUUGCGCGAUUGAAUGAGCCGAUGUCGGAUUAGCUAGUUGGCGGGGUAAAGGCCCACCAAGGCGACGAUCCGUAGCUGGUGUGAGAGGAUGAUCAGCCACACUGGAACUGGGACACGGUCCAGACUCCUACGGGAGGGAGCAGUGGGGAAUAGUGGACAAUGGGCGCAAGCCUGAUCCAGCCAUACCGCGUGGGUGAAGAAGGCCUUCGGGUUGUAAAGCCCUUUUGUUGGGAAAGAAAAGCAGCAGGUUAAUACCCCGCUGUUCUGACGGUACCCAAAGAAUAAGCACCGGCUAACUUCGUG
RNAcentral lists this ribosomal RNA (492 nucleotides) under uncultured bacterium. Its description in RNAcentral is "partial 16S ribosomal RNA". It matches the Rfam family "Bacterial small subunit ribosomal RNA", at positions 29 to 507 of the family's 1533-position model. The record is from RNAcentral.